AUCAAGCAUAACACUCCAACCAAUUCCAUCAUCAGCUUCUCUAGUUGUCACUUUCUUGUAAAACCUUUUCCCCACAAUCGAUCCAGUCAUGAAUGACAUAGGCAUAGACACAGAUGCUGAAUCUUGUGAUGACAAAGGUGAAGUCAUUUUUGGACCAUUUAUGAUAAUAUUAUCAUGGGUUGUUGCAGAAUUUGGAUCUCCGCCGUGAAAAGUGAAGGAGGAAGAAGAUGGGUCAUCUGAUGAUUCGGGUUGUGCCGAAGUUGCUAACUUCCCCACAAUUGAUCCAGUCAUGAAUGACAUAGGCAUAGACACAGAUGCUGAAUCUUGUGAUGAUAAAGGUGAAUUAUUUUUUGGACCCUUUAUGAUAAUAUUAUCGUUGGUUCUUGUAGAAUUUGGAUCUCCACCGUAAAAAGUGAAGGAGGAAGAAGAUGGGUCAUCUGAUGAUUCGGGUUGUGCUGAAGUUGCUAAGUUACUGAA
Molecule: long non-coding RNA, 477 nt
Filed under: Nicotiana benthamiana
Lineage: Eukaryota; Viridiplantae; Streptophyta; Magnoliopsida; Solanales; Solanaceae
Description: long non-coding RNA (NBEN_LNC027353)
Source: RNAcentral